UAAUUUUUUCUUGGGUGACACAUACAUACGAGAAUAACAUGGGUGAGCAAAGGUUUGCUCGAUGGAGCCUAAAAUCUCAUACAAAACAAAAGUGUAAAAAAUAACUUGAU
This 110-nucleotide ribosomal RNA is filed under the name Corethron pennatum. RNAcentral's name for it is "partial Eukaryotic large subunit ribosomal RNA". The record is from RNAcentral. Lineage: Eukaryota; Bacillariophyta; Corethrophyceae; Corethrales; Corethraceae.